RNAcentral lists this long non-coding RNA (4986 nucleotides) under Sus scrofa (pig). RNAcentral describes it as "lncRNA (ENSSSCG00000063266.1)". Lineage: Eukaryota; Metazoa; Chordata; Mammalia; Artiodactyla; Suidae. The record is from RNAcentral.
CAUGAGGAUCACCAUCGGUGAGGCUCUGUUUAUAGAGAGGAUAAGCUUGUGCGAAAAAGACGCUGAGGUGCUGUGCAGACACGAGGGACCUCUCUGCCCCGUGAUGCUCCCUUUGCAAGUGGUUCACGUUCUGUGUGUAUGGAACUAGUGCGAUUUUAGGUGAUUUUUGCAAAGUGGCAUCCUCGUCUGCUUUUAUGAAUGUGUGUAUGUAUAUUUAAAACAUCGUGAUGUACACAUACAGAUGUUUUCAAUACUCAUUCCUUUACAGUCACAUGAAUAUGGGUGUUUGUCGCAAUUUCGGUUCAUAGUUUCAUGAAAUACCCUGGUGGGUUAUAAGAGGUGAGGUGGACUAAUAUAUUAUGACCAUGUUUUCUGAAAAUAGGAACGAUUUUACCUAAGGGGAAAAAUUUUAUGAUGUAGAUAUAUAUUUGAAGCACCAUUAAAAACGGCAGAAGGAGGAUAAUACGCGUUAGACAAUCUAUCCUAGUAUGCUGGUUCCUGAAUAUGCUGACAACAUUUCCAGGAGACUUGAUCAAAGGCCGUCUUUUUGAAGUUGUCAUAUGCUUGUCACCCAGUAGAGACAUUUGGAGGUGGCGUCCUCUAGUGCAAGGUCAGUUGCAGAGAUUAACCCCUGGGUGAAACAGAAGCUGCCCGUGGUUUUCAAGCAGAGGUUUCUAGCAACUGGCUUGGAUGGUUUUCUAGCUGAAGGGGCUGAUUUGUGUGACCUGUGUGGACACACCCAUUUGGGUACUGUUGCCACAUGACAGACUUUUCUGAGAGCCAAUGAAGCAGGUUGUGGAAAGGGGAUGCAGGGCACAUCCCAGCGCUGUUUCUGUCUCGUGGCUGUGUGGUGUCCCGCGGCCCUUCUACUGCAUCUUGCUUCCUGUUUGUGCAGGAAAGGGUUUUUGACCUGAGGCUGUGCACCCCCCACCCCCCCAUUCUUAUGCUUGUGUGUCAUUUCUGUGUUUCUGCGAGAGAUAGACCAGCUUCCAUCACAACCUGUGAUGUAGGAUAUGACUUGGUUUAGGUCAUUCUUUUAAUUAGUUUAUUUAUUUAUUUAUUUAUUUAUUUAUUUAUUUUCUUUUUUGCUACACCCUCGGCACAUGGAGGUUCCCAGGCCACGAGUCAGAUCGGAGCUACAGCCGAUGUCCUUCGCCCCGGCCACAGCAACUUGGGAUCUGAGCUGCAUCCUCGACCCAUACUACAGCUCACGGCAAUGCCGGGUCCCCAACCCACCAAGCAAGACCAGGAUUGAACCUGCAUCCCUAUGGAUCCCAGUUAGGCUCAUUAACGGCGGAGCCACAAAGGGAAUUCCUUAAUUAGUUUAUUUUUAGAAACAGUUUAUUUUAGAACAGUUUUAGAUUUAUAGAAAAAUUGCAAAGGUGGUACAAGCAAUCCCCAUAUACUCCACAUCCAGUUUCCCUUAUUAUUAACAUUUUGUAUUGGUUUGACACUCUUGUCACAAUCAAUGAGCCAAUAUCGAUACAUUCAUAUAAACUAGAGUCCAUGCUUUAUUAAUAGUGAUGUGGAUUAGAAAAGGCAGAAUAGAUAGUGAAGUGGCAAAGUUGGAAAAUGCCAGGAUUCACGGUGUGUUAGUGUUUUACUUAUUUCAUUCUUUCUCAGCUGGGGAGCUCAUGGCGUCCCUGGCUUCUGAGUGUCCCAGCCCACCCAGCAAAGGACUGUGGCUUCGUCCUUUAUUUUACCUCCCUUAUAGACAGAUGCCUUCCAUUCAAGUUUUUGUUGUUUUUUUUUUUUUAACAAAGGAGAGUCCUCCUCUGUCCUUGUCCUAGAAAAGAAUGAUGUGGACUUCCCUGGUGGCUCAGUAGGUUCAGGAUCUGGCAUGGUCAUUGCUGUGACUCAGGUCACUGCUGUGGUGUGGGUUUCAGCCCUGGCCUGGGAACUUGCACAUGCUGCAGGUGCAGCCAAAAAGAAAAAAAAAAAAAAAAAAAAAGAGUGAUGUGCAAAUUUGUAUCUGGGCCCUGAGUUCAAAUCCUGAGAUACCCUGGCCUCCACUCUGGGCUUUGAGAGGAUAAUGGUGUGACUGGGUGCUGGGCAGCACUGGGAAGCAGUGGGGUCUGGGGCUGGACCACAUUAGCACGCUGGGGUUCACAGAGCCUCGCCCAGAGACUGGCUUAACAUGCUCAAUCAUAGAAGCUUGUGUUUGUCAGCAAAAAGUUAGAUAAUUCACCACUGAAUUAUUUAAUUUGCUGGGACUGGGCUGGGUAGGUGAUUAGGACAGGAAAUAACCACAGGCUGAGUGAAACAAGACGCAAACAGGGCCCCUUAGCCUCUGCCUUCAGGGCGGCUCGCUAAGGGCGGCUCCUGAGGUGCUUCCGUCCAUCAGUCUGCACGCAGUGUUGCGGGUAUGGAGCUUUGGGGAAGGGCGGGGGCAGGCGGGUGGCCUGCGGGAACUGUGGGGACGCAACAACAAGUCAGGGUGGUUUUUCUCGUGAUCCAUACAGUCAACAUAACUCACAAAACGCAAAUCUUUGUUAGUAAAGGGGAUGAGAGCAAUGGGCAGAAACAUUUUCUCCACGGUGACAUGGCUGGAAAUGCUUCUCUGCUUCACCCACCGUCGGAUUUCAUUUCUUUUCCUCACAAACCUAAUUGAUGCAGCAUAAAAGUCAUCCAUUUGAAAGGAAUCUUCCAUCAAUGUCAUUCUGAGAAGGUGAAUUAGGCAAUGACAAUUGUGAGAAAUACUCUUAAUGCCGUCAUGAUAUCAGUUUUAGCCAAUCUAGCCACAGGAUUAAGGUGACUGCAUUGUUUCUGUCUUAUUUUCCACGUUAUGUUUCAUGACAGAAAAUCAAAAGGAGAAAAUGGGUCUGAGGAGCACACUGGCUCAUGUGCCAGGGAGCAGGAGCCAUCAACCUGGGCAUUUAUUCAGAUUUUCCGAUAUACGGCCAGUACUUUUCUAUCUAAAAAGAGCCAGAAUCUGAAGGCACAUAAACCCCCUGACAGUGUUAGAGACACUGUGGGAUCCCAGCUUCAUCAGGGGCUGCAGCGUCUGAGAGGUGGAGGCACCUGUAGGCCAGGCUGAGUUAGUGUUGGGAGACGGUUUUACCGGACAGACCUCUUGUGUUUUCGUCCAUCCUGUGAGUGGGGUGCUGAGUGCCCUUUGCUGUGGGCCAGCUUUUCCAGAAUGUCUGCAUAGUGAGCAGCCUGGGCUUGAAGGGCGGCAGCCCCCUGGGGGCAGGGGCCGGGGUUCUUCCUGCCAUGCAGAAGCGGCUCAGUGGCCUGGGUCUGGGGCCUCUCCUGUGGCUUCAAGUCUCGCCUGUGGGAAUGGGGGCCAGAGGCUGGACCCUGGCCGUUGCUGCACCUGAUGAGCCGUCUCUGACCCAGGAGCCUCCCUGGACCCCUGUGCCUGCACCGGCAGCUUGUCAGCAGGUGGAUGCGCAGACGCCGCAGGGCUGGUGACUGCGCCUCCCACGUUGUAGGCACAAACAUCAGCUACCUCACCUGCGAAGUGUCCUGAUACUGCUUCUAACAUGUGCAGCAGUCCUUGUCUCCUGUCAGAGGCAUGUCCCCAGCAAGUUCCCCCAGGCUGGCUCUUCCUGGGAAUGUACAUAACUCAUGUCCUCUGACCCAGGCAGGCAGCUCAACUGGGCCCUUGUCCCAGACAGAUGCCCGCUACUGAUGGGUCUGUGGUUCUGGGUUCUGGCAGAGCCAGGUGCUCUGGGGACGUUCCAGCGCUGAGGGGAUCCCCGCCUUCCAGCCUGGACACCCAGCCUCUCCCUCAAAGCUCACUUUGCAAUGCAGGUUUCUGUACUGUUAGUGAUAGAAAUUAAGCCAGAGGACCAAGCACGAGGGGGCUAUUUUGUGUUUAACCUGGCUGCUGCCACAUGGGGUGCACGUGGGAGGCAGUUACAGGCCAGACCUCCCCAUGCAUUGACCCUCAGGGCAGCCUCAGGAGGCAGCUCAGGCUCCUGCCAGGAGGCCAUGUGCUUGGAACACGGACUUUGUCCCUGCCUGUCCUUGUGUGGUGUGAAGUGGGGCUCAGAUUAUUUUGGUAAGAACGUGUCUAAAUGCUUCAAUUGUUUGAACUCACAGUAUCUUUUUCUCAACUGGUUGUGCCCAUUCUGCUGAAAAGAAAACGUCCUGGAUUGCUGGGUGGGCUACUUUUUCACUGCUGGGCUACAUUUACAGCACUAAAGGAAAGAAGGUCUUGGAAAAUUCCAUGUGUAUAGACAGUGAGCACAUGCUUUCUUUCAUAAUUCACAAAAAGUAUUUCUUGGAUCAUCAGAAAAAAAGUAUGUGUUUGCCAAGACAACUGUCUGGUUUGGGGCUAUGCCUUGUAAAGUUAAGGCCAUUAAUCAAUUGUACAUCUCCUGAAUUUUCUGCUUAUAAUUCUUUGGUCACCAAAUUAUGCUUCCUUCCUUUUUACCUGUCCAGAAAGACACAAUUUCAAAAGUCAGAGGAGUCAUUUAUUAGGAUGAAAUCCUUGCUGUAACUAUUCAACACCGUCUUCCCAGUAUCUGGUUUGAGUAAAGCUACAAAAUUAAGAUUCUGAUGGUUUUUAUCUACUGAUAGUUUUUUGCAGGACAGACUACUAUAAGUAAAAAUCUUUUUUAUUUUAGCUUUCUUAUCUGUGAUUUAUUUCAGAAUCUCACACCAGCUCUGCCUGGACAGUUAUACCUUGCCUUUCCAUUUAUUUGGUACAGUUAGAGCUAACAUUCUUAAUUUCCUGGAUGAAUUAUAAAUAAUCUUCCAAAAACCUCAAGAAAAGAUCCUAGUUUUUAUUCUUGAGUGUAUCUUGCCUUAAAAAUUAUUGCAUCGGGGGAGUUCCCGUUGUGGUACAGUGGUUAAGGAAUCUGACUAGGAACCAUGAGGUUGCAGGUUCGACCCCUGGCCUUGCUCAGUGGGUUAAGGAUCUGGCAUUGCCGUGAGCUGUGGUGUAGGUUGCAGACGCGGCUUAGAUCCCGUGUAGCUAUGGUUCUGGCGUAGGCAGGUGGCUACAGCUCCGAUUAGACCCCUAGCCUGGGAACCUCC